UUGAACUAGAAAGAUAUGAAAGCAGUUCGGAGGACUUUCAAGACACAUCCCUCGUAAAGCAGCCUGAGGAAAAACUGUAUUAGGCUUUGACUACACUACGCACCUUUUAGCGACACAGCUACGUCAUUACAGCCGUGCCGCUAAAAGGCGCGUAGUGUAGCCGCUGUUUGUUGGCAGGAAAGCACUCUCUCGCCGAUAAAAACCUUCCACCCCCAAUGAGCAGCACUAGCCAAAGCACUGUUCACACUGGUGCUUUUCCUCAACAAAACUUUUGUCUUCUGGCAGGGGGAGGGGAGGAUGUUUUUAACACCUCUGAACGACAAAAGUUUUGUCAUUCAGUUGCAAGUGUAGACAAAUCCUUAGGCUCAACUACAUGUGGGAUGGGUCACGGCAGAGAAGGGUGAUUCACAAUCAGUAACUAGGUCCUGGACAGAUUCAAUGGGUAAGAGGUCACCCAAAGAUCGGAAGAGGGAUGAGAAAUAUGGGGAAGUUAGACAAAUACAGAGGAUUAUCAGAAAUGCAAAGAGAGGCUGUGAAUAGAUCUCCCUGGAAUACCAAGCAACUCCGAUUUUAUGUCUGAAGUACAAAGGUAAGUGAUCAGCCAAGGAGAAAGAACAUUACAGAAUGGAAUGAGAAAUGAGGGCGCACACGAGGAUAAAGCAGCUGAAGUGUUAAAUGACUUUCCCCUAAAAAUGUACUGUAUAUAUAAGGGGCAAGCCAGCCUCUGGCUCCGUCUCAGCUUGAGCUGCAGCCGUGGGCCCUCACACUGAGUGACUCCAUGAGCGGGGGCACAGAGCUCCAUGGAGGAGAAGGGGAUACUAGCAGAGUUAUCCAAUCGGCUACAUGCACUUGUCAGGGCUGACUGAGUAGAAGAAACUCAUCCAUAGGAAGAGAAAGGACUCAAGCCUGUGUGUGUGAGUUCAGUGAUGGAAACUGGUUGAGAAGACAUUCAAAGGGUCCCUUCAUCUUCUCUUCAAGUCUGCUUUUGGGUAUGCAGAAAAUGCCACUUCUUCCUCCCAUACCAGAAGACUGCAAACUUAGAAUGUUGUCACAUUUAUCCACGCUUCUAUCACGUCAAUCCUGCAUUGCUGGAACACACCAUUGCGACAGCCCUGGAUGAGCCUUCAGAAACAUCAGCAAGUGCAGCUUCUGAGUGGAAUGGAUCACUUGGAGAACAUAUCACUCGUGCUGCACGAUACCUGCUCACUGCCUAUCCAGUUCCCAUCACAGUUUGAGAAGUCAGAGAAUCCUAAAAUCCUACAUUGUUCUGAAACCCAGUUAUUUAAAGGAUCACUUUGUUCUAGCAGCAGAUUGAAGGUCCACUUGGGUAUCUCUGCUGUCAGUGCCUGAAAAUCAUUUGUGGUGGGUGUGAUAAAUAAAGGGGGGCGGGGGAGGUAGCUCCCUUUGAUGGACACCCAGCCAGCCAGUUAGCUGUAAAAUCCCUCUUGGUAGCUGUUCUUUACUAACUUUACCUGUAAAGGGAUAAAAAGUCCCCCAGGUAAAGAAAAAAAAGUGGGCACCUGACCAAAAGAGCCAAUGGGAAGGCUAGAACCUUUUAAAAUGGGAAAAGAAACUUUCCCUUUGUUUGUGGUUGCUCUCUCUGGGCUGCAGGAACACAGCGCAGCAAUGCUGUGUACGGUUUGAACCAGGUAUAAAAAAUUAUUUUCCAUACCUAGCAGGACUCAUUGGGAUAGCAAAUGUUUAGAUAGAUGCGAUCAGGUUUAUUUCUUUAUUUUGGCUUGUGGAUCUCCUCUGUGCUAACCCCAGAUGUUUUUGUUUGCUUGUAACCUUUAAGCUGAACCCCCAACAAACUACUUUGGGUGCUUAACUUUUGGAAUUGCUCCUUUAAAAUCUAGCAAAACCCUAAGUUCCAAACGUAUUUUCUUUCUUUUUGUUUUUAAUAAAAUUUAGCUUUUUAAGAACAGGAUUGGA
This is a long non-coding RNA of Caretta caretta (loggerhead turtle), 1932 nucleotides long. RefSeq lists it as uncharacterized. NCBI's taxonomy places the organism in Eukaryota, Metazoa, Chordata, Testudines, Cheloniidae. The record is from RefSeq and is a predicted model, not a curated record.